Molecule: long non-coding RNA, 613 nt
Organism: Marmota flaviventris (yellow-bellied marmot)
Lineage: Eukaryota; Metazoa; Chordata; Mammalia; Rodentia; Sciuridae
Source: RefSeq, a predicted model, not a curated record
GUUUGGAGGCUGUAAUUAUCAUUCUGGUUGUCUUGAAGAUCAGACUUCAGUGAUUUCACUCUCAGGAAAAGAUGGCAUGGGAUUUCUGAAAAAAGAAGAAGGUUUCUUCUCAAGAUGGCUUUAGGAACAAAUUAUGCUGAAGUGAGUUUGAAAAAUGAACUGAAGUCCUCAGGCGUCAACUCAAAUUCUCCUGCAGGAUUCCCUUGAGAAGGCAUGCAUGAAGCUGUGAAGGGGAAGCUGAAGCUGGAAUGGAGAUCCCAGGGAUUAAGAUAUGCCAGUAAUGUGGAAUGUCUGCUGAGGGAAGCUGUUGGCUGUAGAUGGAGUCAGCCUAAGAAAGAGACCAUGUGGAUGACAACCAGCAAGGCCAUUUAGGUGGUGCUGCAGAAGCUCUUUGAAGAUUACAUCUCACCACAAUAUUACCAAGAUGCUGGACAUGGAGUUUUAGAAACUAAUAUCUGCCUAAGUUUUGGUUUCGUCCCUUCCUUCUAUAUCCUUAUUCCUCCUUUUUGGAAUGGGAACAUUUACUUUAUGCCAUUGUAUAUUGGAAGUAUGCAACUUGUAAGGACAGGCACUGGCGAUCAAAAGGAGGCAGAUUAAAAGCAGCUGAAUAAGG